AUUAUCCAACACUAAAACCAACACUAAACCCAAAACUUAACAGCUGUCAUACCACAACUAUUAACGAGAACAAUUUAAUUGUAGGAACGAUGAACAAUAUCCAUGAAAGCAUGAAAUGUUUCAAGGAGAACCAUGCGAAGAUGGCAGCAGGGUGGUGGCUGCGCAGGCAAUGCCGGGGACAUGGCGCAAGAGGACAGCGCCGGCAAAAAUGGGAAAAUUGGAGAAAAUCCUCGAGGUUGUGCUCGAACCUCCGGCCAGGCUGUCGACGGAAAUCGUCCCAUCGGUGUGACGCGCACCGCGAACAUAUAUAUAUAUAUGUGAAAAUUCGUAUAUAUAUAUAUAUAUAUAUUUCCGUGUGUUGAGUUUCGAGGCCGAUUGACGCCUUUCUUCGGAGGAAAACUUUCACGGCACCCGUUCGGAUCCCGAUGAGCGAUGACAAGCACCGUCCCAAUCGGGUCGGAAUCUUUUACAGCAACCACGUCUGAACCAAUGAAAAUUCUUGAAACGGAUCCUGACUGUCCCUGUGCUACGUCAAUCCAUUCAGCCUUCAGGCAAACAUUAAAUUUAUCUGCAGUCGCUCCACGGGGAAUAACUGGCAACGUUUUCCUGAAAUCGCCUGCCAACAUCCUGGCCGUCCCUGUGCUACGUCAAUCCAUUCAGCCUUCAGGCAAACAUUCAAUUUAUCUGCAGUCGCUCCACGGGGAAUAACUGGCAACGUUUUCCUGAAAUCGCCUCCCAACAGUAUAAUCAAGCCGCCAAAGAUGUUGGUUUUUCUGAAGAUCCUUCAGUGUGAAGUUAAGUGCUUCAAAUGAUUUCUUAUAUGCCAUUGUGAACUCAUCCCAAACAAUGAGCUUGCAUUAUAUCAACAGUUUUCCCAUUGCACUGGAUCGAGAAAUAUUGCAUGAGUAUCAAUUGUGUCUAAAAUAAACUUAAGCGUAGAAUGUGCAGUACGACCGCCAUCUAUAAGAGUCGCCGAGAUAAUGCUAACGCAAAAGUUAUGUCACAUCUUGAUCGAAUAGUGGCCAAAAUCAAUGAACUGACAAAUGUUUUCCCUGUUCCUCCAGAUCUAAUGACAGCUGAAGUGUUCACAAGUAUUUUGCAUUGUAAUUUAUUAAAUAUUUUUAAAAGACGGUGUGAACGGAAGGAGAUUGUAAAUCCAGUAUUUGUUUUCUUCUUAAUUGAUUAACGAGAGAAUAGCCGGAAGGAAAGAUCCGUAACAUACGUUUAGAGGAUAUGCAAGAAGUUGUGCUAAGGAAA
This is a long non-coding RNA of Drosophila serrata, 1257 nucleotides long. RefSeq lists it as uncharacterized. Lineage: Eukaryota; Metazoa; Arthropoda; Insecta; Diptera; Drosophilidae. The record is from RefSeq and is a predicted model, not a curated record.